RNAcentral lists this ribosomal RNA (253 nucleotides) under uncultured bacterium. RNAcentral describes it as "partial 16S ribosomal RNA". It matches the Rfam family "Bacterial small subunit ribosomal RNA", at positions 524 to 776 of the family's 1533-position model. The record is from RNAcentral.
GACAGAGGGUGCAAACGUUGUUCGGAUUUACUGGGCGUAAAGCGCGUGUAGGCGGCUUGGCAAGUCGGAUGUGAAAGCCCACGGCUCAACCGUGGAAGCGCAUCCGAAACUGCUUCGCUCGAGUCUCGGAGAGGAAGGUGGAAUGCUUGGUGUAGAGGUGAAAUUCGUAGAUAUCAAGCAGAACACCUGCGGCGAAGGCGGCCUUCUGGACGAUGACUGACGCUGAGACGCGAAAGCUAGGGGAGCAAACAGG